Non-coding RNA from Parelaphostrongylus tenuis, 75 nucleotides. The record is from the annotation of a GenBank genome assembly. NCBI's taxonomy places the organism in Eukaryota, Metazoa, Nematoda, Chromadorea, Rhabditida, Metastrongylidae.
GGCAAACGUGGUGUAGUGGUAGAGCAAGCGUCCCCGGAUAGGAUGAAACGUGGGUUCGAUUCCCGCCUGAGGCCG